This 528-nucleotide ribosomal RNA is filed under the name uncultured bacterium. RNAcentral describes it as "bacterial SSU rRNA". It matches the Rfam family "Bacterial small subunit ribosomal RNA", at positions 775 to 1299 of the family's 1533-position model. The record is from RNAcentral.
AGAUAAUAGAUACCCGGGUAGUCCACGCCGUAAACGGUGGGUGCUAGGUGUAGGGGGUAUUCCACGCCCUCUGUGCCGCAGCUAAACGCAUUAAGCACCCCGCCUGGGGAGUACGGCCGCAAGGCUAAAACUCAAAGGAAUUGACGGGGGCCCGCACAAGCAGCGGAGCAUGUGGCUUAAUUCGACGCAACGCGAAGAACCUUACCAAGGCUUGACAUGCAGGGAAAUCUCCCAGAGAUGGGAGGUCCGCAAGGGUCCUGCACAGGUGGUGCAUGGUUGUCGUCAGCUCGUGUCGUGAGAUGUUGGGUUAAGUCCCGCAACGAGCGCAACCCUCGUUCUAUGUUGCCAGCGGUUCGGCCGGGGACUCAUAGGAGACUGCCGGGGUCAACUCGGAGGAACGGUGGGGACGACGUCAAAUCAUCAUGCCCCGUUAUGUCUUGGGCUGCACACAUGCUACAAUGGCCGGUACAAAGGGCUGCUAAACCGCGAGGUGGAGCGAAUCCCAAAAAGCCGGUCUCAGUUCGGAUU